RNAcentral lists this ribosomal RNA (253 nucleotides) under uncultured bacterium. RNAcentral's name for it is "partial 16S ribosomal RNA". It matches the Rfam family "Bacterial small subunit ribosomal RNA", at positions 524 to 776 of the family's 1533-position model. The record is from RNAcentral.
UACGAAUGGGGCAAGCGUUGUUCGGAAUCACUGGGCUUAAAGCGUGCGUAGGCGGCUAUGAAAGUCAGGAGUGAAAUCCCAGGGCUUAACCCUGGAAUUGCUUUUGAAACUCCAUAGCUAGAAUCCGGGAGAGGUUAGCAGAAUUCCGAGUGUAGAGGUGAAAUUCGCAGAUAUUCGGAGGAAUACCAGUGGCGUAGGCGGCUAACUGGACCGGCAUUGACGCUGAGGUACGAAAGCGUGGGUAGCAAACAGG